Molecule: ribosomal RNA, 465 nt
Filed under: uncultured bacterium
Lineage: Bacteria
Description: partial 16S ribosomal RNA
Rfam family: Bacterial small subunit ribosomal RNA
Source: RNAcentral
GACGAACGCUGGCGGCGUGCUUAACACAUGCAAGUCGAACGGAAAGGCCCCUUUGGGGGUACUCGAGUGGCGAACGGGUGCGUAACACGUGAGUAACCUGCCCUUGACUUCGGGAUAACUUCAGGAAACUGGGGCUAAUACCGGAUAGGAAUCCUUGCUGCAUGGUGGGGGUUGGAAAGCUUCGGCGGUUUUGGAUGGACUCGCGGCUUAUCAGCUUGUUGGUGGGGUAGUGGCUUACCAAGGCUUUGACGGGUAGCCGGCCUGAGAGGGCGACCGGCCACAUUGGGACUGAGAUACGGCCCAGACUCCUACGGGAGGCAGCAGGGGGGAAUAUUGCACAAUGGGCGGAAGCCUGAUGCAGCAACGCCGCGGGCGGGAUGACGGCCUUCGGGUUGUAAACCGCUUUCAGCAGGGGCGAAGCUUGUGGUGACGGUACCUGCAGAAGAAGCACCGGCUAACUACGUG